CCUACGGGAGGCAGCAGUGAGGAAUAUUGGUCAAUGGAGGCAACUCUGAACCAGCCAUGCCGCGUGCAGGAAGAAUGCCCUAUGGGUUGUAAACUGCUUUUAUUUGGGAAUAAACCUUUCUACGUGUAGAAAGCUGAAGGUACCAAACGAAUAAGCACCGGCUAACUCCGUGCCAGCAGCCGCGGUAAU
RNAcentral lists this ribosomal RNA (189 nucleotides) under uncultured Bacteroidota bacterium. Its description in RNAcentral is "uncultured Bacteroidetes bacterium partial 16S ribosomal RNA". It matches the Rfam family "Bacterial small subunit ribosomal RNA", at positions 338 to 524 of the family's 1533-position model. Lineage: Bacteria; Pseudomonadati; Bacteroidota. The record is from RNAcentral.